RNAcentral lists this ribosomal RNA (465 nucleotides) under uncultured bacterium. RNAcentral's name for it is "partial 16S ribosomal RNA". It matches the Rfam family "Bacterial small subunit ribosomal RNA", at positions 28 to 507 of the family's 1533-position model. The record is from RNAcentral.
GACGAACGCUGGCGGCGUGCUUAACACAUGCAAGUCGAACGGAAAGGCCCUGCUUGCAGGGUACUCGAGUGGCGAACGGGUGAGUAACACGUGGGUGAUCUGCCCUGCACUUCGGGAUAAGCCUGGGAAACUGGGUCUAAUACCGGAUAGGAGCCAUUUUUAGUGUGAUGGUUGGAAAGUUUUUUCGGUGUAGGAUGAGCUCGCGGCCUAUCAGCUUGUUGGUGGGGUAAUGGCCUACCAAGGCGGCGACGGGUAGCCGGCCUGGGAGGGUGGACGGCCACAUUGGGGCUGAGAUACGGCCCAGACUCCUACGGGAGGCAGCAGUGGGGAAGAUUGCACAAUGGGCGCAAGCCUGAUGCAGCGACGCCGCGGGGGGGAUGACGGGCUUCGGGUUGUAAACUCCUUUCGCUAGGGACGAAGCUUUUUGUGACGGUACCUAGAUAAGAAGCACCGGCUAACUACGUG